RNAcentral lists this ribosomal RNA (274 nucleotides) under uncultured bacterium. RNAcentral's name for it is "partial 16S ribosomal RNA". It matches the Rfam family "Bacterial small subunit ribosomal RNA", at positions 523 to 796 of the family's 1533-position model. The record is from RNAcentral.
AUACGUAGGGUGCUAGCGUUGUUCGGAAUUAUUGGGCGUAAAGCGGGUGUAGGUGGUUUGGUAAGUCAGAUGUGAAAGCCCUCGGCUCAACCGAGGAAGUGCAUCUGAAACUACUAAGCUAGAGGACGGCAGAGGGAGGUGGAAUUCCUAGUGUAGAGGUGAAAUUCGUAGAUAUUAGGAGGAAUACCUGUGGCGAAGGCGGCCUCCUGGACCGUUCCUGACACUGAGAUCCGAAAGCGUGGGUAGCAAACAGGAUUAGAAACCCCGGUAGUCC